Pelobates cultripes (western spadefoot toad) is the source of this 316-nucleotide non-coding RNA. NCBI's taxonomy places the organism in Eukaryota, Metazoa, Chordata, Amphibia, Anura, Pelobatidae. The record is from the annotation of a GenBank genome assembly.
UGGGAUAGCCCCCGAAAUAUUGGGACAUAAAAAAAGACAACUCUGUUCCGCAGAGUAGCUGUUGACAUUAUAGUUGCGCAGGCACUUUGUUGACUCUAGAGAACAUCGGGCCAAUCGCACAUCCCCGUGACGGCGACUUUGCAUUCGGAUGUCAUCCAUAUCAACUUUCAAUGCCAGUUUAUGCACCUACCAUGGUGACCACGGGUAACGGGGAAUCAGGGUUCCAUUCCGUACAGUGACCCUGAGAAACGGCUACCACAUGUAAGGAAGGCAUCAGGUGCGCAAAUGACCCACUCCCGACGCGGGAAGGUAGUGA